Molecule: ribosomal RNA, 301 nt
Filed under: uncultured bacterium
Lineage: Bacteria
Description: partial 16S ribosomal RNA
Rfam family: Bacterial small subunit ribosomal RNA
Source: RNAcentral
CAGUCGCCGCGGUAAUACAGAGGGUGCAAGCGUUAAUCGGAAUUACUGGGCGUAAAGCGCGCGUAGGUGGUUUGUUAAGUUGGAUGUGAAAUCCCCGGGCUCAACCUGGGAACUGCAUCCAAAACUGGCAAGCUAGAGUAUGGUAGAGGGUGGUGGAAUUUCCUGUGUAGCGGUGAAAUGCGUAGAUAUAGGAAGGAACACCAGUGGCGAAGGCGACCACCUGGACUGAUACUGACACUGAGGUGCGAAAGCGUGGGGAGCAAACAGGAUUAGAGACCCGAGUAGUCCCUGUCUCUUAUAC